This 72-nucleotide transfer RNA is filed under the name Marininema halotolerans. RNAcentral's name for it is "tRNA_Val_GAC". It matches the Rfam family "tRNA". Rfam says of the family: Transfer RNA (tRNA) molecules are approximately 80 nucleotides in length. Their secondary structure includes four short double-helical elements and three loops (D, anti-codon, and T loops). Further hydrogen bonds mediate the characteristic L-shaped molecular structure. tRNAs have two regions of fundamental functional importance: the anti-codon, which is responsible for specific mRNA codon recognition, and the 3' end, to which the tRNAs corresponding amino acid is attached (by aminoacyl-tRNA synthetases). tRNAs cope with the degeneracy of the genetic code in two manners: having more than one tRNA (with a specific anti-codon) for a particular amino acid; and 'wobble' base-pairing, i.e. permitting non-standard base-pairing at the 3rd anti-codon position. The record is from RNAcentral. Lineage: Bacteria; Bacillati; Bacillota; Bacilli; Caryophanales; Thermoactinomycetaceae.
GGGCGGUUAGCUCAGAGGGAGAGCGCUACCUUGACACGGUAGAGGUCGCUGGUUCGAUCCCAGUACCACCCA